This 478-nucleotide ribosomal RNA is filed under the name uncultured bacterium. RNAcentral's name for it is "partial 16S ribosomal RNA". It matches the Rfam family "Bacterial small subunit ribosomal RNA", at positions 28 to 507 of the family's 1533-position model. The record is from RNAcentral.
GAUGAACGCUGGCGGCGUGCUUAACACAUGCAAGUCGAACGGGAAUUCUUUUAUUGAAACUUCGGUCGAUUUAAUUUAAUUCUAGUGGCGGACGGGUGAGUAACGCGUGGGUAACCUGCCUUAUACAGGGGGAUAACAGUCAGAAAUGGCUGCUAAUACCGCAUAAGCGCACAGAGCUGCAUGGCUCAGUGUGAAAAACUCCGGUGGUAUAAGAUGGACCCGCGUUGGAUUAGCUUGUUGGCAGGGUAACGGCCUACCAAGGCGACGAUCCAUAGCCGGCCUGAGAGGGUGAACGGCCACAUUGGGACUGAGACACGGCCCAGACUCCUACGGGAGGCAGCAGUGGGGAAUAUUGCACAAUGGGGGAAACCCUAAUGCAGCGACGCCGCGUGAAGGAAGAAGUAUCUCGGUAUGUAAACUUCUAUCAGCAGGGAAGAUAGUGACGGUACCUGACGAAGAAGCCCCGGCUAACUACGUG